This 427-nucleotide ribosomal RNA is filed under the name uncultured prokaryote. RNAcentral describes it as "bacterial SSU rRNA". It matches the Rfam family "Bacterial small subunit ribosomal RNA", at positions 355 to 774 of the family's 1533-position model. The record is from RNAcentral.
UAGGGAAUAUUAGACAAUGGGCGCAAGCCUGAUCCAGCCAUGCCGCGUGAGUGACGAAGGCCUUUGGGUCGUAAAGCUCUUUUCUGAGGGAAGAACCGCCGGGAUAGGAAAUGAUCCCGGUCUGACGGUACCUCAGGAAUAAGCACCGGCUAACUACGUGCCAGCAGCCGCGGUAAUACGUAGGGUGCAAGCGUUAUCCGGAAUUAUUGGGCGUAAAGGGCUCGUAGGCGGUUCGUCGCGUCCGGUGUGAAAGUCCAUCGCUUAACGGUGGAUCCGCGCCGGGUACGGGCGGGCUUGAGUGCGGUAGGGGAGACUGGAAUUCCGCGUGUAGCAGUGAAAUGCGUAGAUAUUAGGAGGAACACCAGUGGCGAAGGCGACUUUCUGGACUGUAACUGACACUGAGGCACGAAAGCGUGGGGAGCAAACA